AUGUCACUAUAGCUUUUCAAGUUAUAACAUAGAUUUAAGACAAGAAUAACCAAGUUCGAUCCUCACGCCCUGCCUGUGUUGCUCUUUUAUUUUAAUUUUGUUGUAGCUUUUUAUUGCUUGUUUAUUUAUUUAUUUUUUAUUUCAUUCUUUAUAUAUCUAUAUUUAUUUAUUUAUUUUAAUCUUUUUUUUUUUUUUUUUUUUUUUUUUUUUUUUUUUUUUUUUUUUUUUUUUUUUUUUUUUUUUUUUUCAUAGAUUUUAAAUAUAAAUAAAAUUUUAUUGUUUACACUACCUUAUUUAGCUAAAUUGCCACAGGAAAAUAGGUUAAGA
This 327-nucleotide unclassified non-coding RNA is filed under the name Melitaea cinxia (Glanville fritillary). RNAcentral's name for it is "misc RNA ENSMCXG00005007688.1". Lineage: Eukaryota; Metazoa; Arthropoda; Insecta; Lepidoptera; Nymphalidae. The record is from RNAcentral.